Molecule: unclassified non-coding RNA, 337 nt
Filed under: soil metagenome
Description: partial contains 5.8S ribosomal RNA, internal transcribed spacer 2, and large subunit ribosomal RNA
Rfam family: 5.8S ribosomal RNA (bases 1-120)
Source: RNAcentral
GAUGAAGAACGUAGCGAAAUGCGAUAAGUAGUGUGAAUUGCAGAAUUCAGUGAAUCAUCGAAUCUUUGAACGCACAUUGCGCCCCUUGGUAUUUCAUGGGGCAUGCCUGUUCGAGCGUCAUUUGUACUCUCAAGCUAAGCUUGGUGUUGGGUGUUUGUCCACUUCCUCGUGUUUGGACUCGCCUUAAAACAAUUGGCAGCCAGUGUUUUGGUAUUGAAGCGCAGCACAAUUUGCGAUUCUAGCCUAGAAUACUAGCAUCCAUCAAGUCAUUUUUAACGCUUGACCUCGGAUCAGGUAGGGAUACCCGCUGAACUUAAGCAUAUCAAUAAGCGGAGGA